AACGUAGGAGACAAACGUUAUCCGGAGUUACUGGGCGUAAAGGGCGUGUAGGUGGUUUCGUAAGUCUGGCGUGAAAUUUUUCGGCUUAACCGGGAAAGGUCGUCGGAUACUGCGGGACUAGAGGACGGUAGAGGCGUGUGGAAUUCCGGGUGUAGUGGUGAAAUGCGUAGAGAUCCGGAGGAACACCAGUGGCGAAGGCGACACGCUGGGCCGUACCUGACACUGAUGCGCGACAGCGUGGGGAGCAAACAGG
Molecule: ribosomal RNA, 253 nt
Filed under: uncultured bacterium
Lineage: Bacteria
Description: partial 16S ribosomal RNA
Rfam family: Bacterial small subunit ribosomal RNA
Source: RNAcentral